GCCCCCGUGGCCUAAUGGAUAAGGCAUCGGCCUCCUAAGCCGGGGAUUGCGGGUUCGAGUCCCGCCGGGGGUA
Molecule: transfer RNA, 73 nt
Filed under: Callosobruchus maculatus (cowpea weevil)
Lineage: Eukaryota; Metazoa; Arthropoda; Insecta; Coleoptera; Chrysomelidae
Also listed under: 1 other name
Rfam family: tRNA
About the family: Transfer RNA (tRNA) molecules are approximately 80 nucleotides in length.
Source: Rfam by way of RNAcentral